UACUUGGUGCGUGAAAUGGUAGACAUGCGAGACUCAAAAUCUCAUGCUAAAGAGCGUGGAGGUUCGAGUCCUCUUCGAGGCAUAA
RNAcentral lists this transfer RNA (85 nucleotides) under Datura stramonium (jimsonweed). RNAcentral describes it as "tRNA-Leu". The record is from RNAcentral. Lineage: Eukaryota; Viridiplantae; Streptophyta; Magnoliopsida; Solanales; Solanaceae.